GCUGCAUAUAGACAUCCCUACAUCUUUGCCUUGAAGCCUGUCUUGAAACCGCAGAGAUGCUCUGACGGGAGAGAGGGCCGUUGACUUUUCUGGGACGUGCCGGGAUGAGUGGAAGGUGUGUGGGUGACUUGUUCUGGGGCAGUGAGGGGGCUGACGGGAGAGAUGGGAGAAUAAGACCGACAUUUCCUCGUCCCUCUUCCACCCUGUUCUUAGUCACCUGCUGGAGAUGGGACAGGUCAGGAGAGAAUGUACGCUCCCAUUUCUAGCCACUGUCACUUUUCCUGUUGGUUCCAUUUCUGAAGGAAGCAGAGGGGGUCCUUGGUAGCAACAGACCCCUGGAACUCAAGAUUUGAAGGACACCCUUUUGAGGUGUCAGGGCCUUUUUGAGACUGACGAAAGCAACGGGAGCCAGCCCCUGAGUUGGCCUUCUCUGAUAUCCACACCCCCGUGCGGUCCCCGCCCACACUACCUAGAGCUAGCCUCUGCAGACUGUAAUGUAACAUACCGAAGGAGUGAUAGACGGUGACUUUUGAGGCCGGGUCACAGAAAUCAUCUGGCUUCUGCCUCGCUCUCUCUUGGAUCACUCUGGGAAAAGCCAGUUGCCAUGCCGCGAGGACACUCGUGCAGUCCCUACUCAAGUGGACCCAGAUUGUAUAAGACCAGGUCUCCUGCCGGAAGCCGGUGAGAACGGAGAUCUGCUAACAGCCGUGUGAGUGAGCCAGCUUGGCCGCUCUCAGCCCAGCCCCAGGCCGGCCUUCGGAUGCUGCUGCCCCAGCCGACAGCCCCACUGCAGCCUCGAGAGAGAUUCUGAGCCAGAACCACUCAGCUAAGCCACUCCCAGAUUGCUGACCCACAGAAACUGUGACAUAAUAAGUGUUCAUAGCUGUUAAAUUCAGACGAUUUGUUAACGCUGUCUUAGAUAACUAAUAAAUGUGGCCCCCUCUCCCAGAAAUGCACUUAACGCCCACUUUUGCCAACACUUUCAGGACAUUCAAGGAGUUUCUGACAUCCAGGAAAAUCAGGCUAAAAUUCUCUGCCCUCUCGCAAUCCCUCCAGGUGUGGAAGCAGACACACACACACAGCGUGGCAGCUGGGUUCCAAGAGUGAGCUUCCGGAAGGACCAAACACGGGUCCUGCGCAUUUCAGGUAUCCAGGAAGUUCGUGAAAUGCACGGCUAAAGUGAAAUGAGGGUCUUCUUGUGGGAACUCUGGAGAAGCGAGCCAUGCCUCCAGCCUCCGACAUCGGGUGCUGAGCAGACCCCCGCUUCCCCCCGCCUUCCGUGGCCCGUGUCACCCUGCGCCGGGCCCUGCGCCUGGGCCUUUGCACUCAAGCUCCCUGAAGAGGAUGGACCGGAGGGGGGGGCGGUGGCUGAGUGCCCGGCCGGCCCCACUCUUGGGAAGAGAAGCCAAAAGGAGACCCGUCCAGGAGCAGGUCAAGAAGGACAUCUUUGCCUGGGAAGAAGAAGGUGAUCUGUUGGUCUUCCUUCCGGGGAGCGUUUUAUUUGAUGCCAUUUUCCCUGUUGAGUGGCCUCUGCAGCGUUCACGUCGAGCGGCGGAGCUUUGUAGAGUGGUCUGCUCUUGUGGGCACUGGAGUGUUUCCUCUGGCCCUGCUCACAGAGCGGGCGCCACGUGCUGGAGAGGUCUUGGAUGCGUCCUGCCCUGCAGAGGCGCCGUCCUGCUCUCAGAGGCUACCCAGACCAGCUUGCUCUUUGGGAUGCUUGCCCGGCACUGACCGGCCUGCCGCCACUUUGCGUGGAGUUCUGGCUUCCUGCUGUCCCUUCUGAAGGAGAGCUGGUGUCCUCCGGCCAGCCAGAGGCGGCACAUCUGUUGUUCUGCUCGUCUGGCGUUUACUCCCCUCCCUCCAUUUGUUUUUCCUUUUGGCGGGGAGAAUACCUUUCUCUACUCUGCGUGUGGGGGGUCGUACGCACCAGACGCCCCCUCCCUGCUUCGUGACCCUGUUCUAGGAGUAAAGAUGGCAUCCGGACCUAAUCGGUUGGACUUUUCCUUUGGGCUUUGGGCUCUCAGAAUAACGGAAUGCAUGACUCCCCUUGACUCAAGGAGCUUUAAUCCCGGCACUCUUGCUAGAAUUGUUUGCAAACCUCUUUAUCCUGAUCUUGAACCCGGCUGAAUGCAGGCUUACAUCAUCAGGGGCUAGCUUCAGGAGCGGGCCUGCCUGGGAGCGAAACCGGUGGGGAGGGCAGAAGUGAGCAAUACGGAGGGAAACUGAGUCCCGAUGACAUCAUUCCAGUGCGAGGCGUCAGCUGUUUCGGACACGUCCUGGAAUUGUCAGUGACACGAGCCAAAAAGGUCCCCUGGGAUGGUUGAGCAAGUUUAAGUUGUGUUUCUAUCCAACUGAGGAGGUCUUUAAUUCAGCCACGACCCCUGUCUGAAGAAAAUCACUGUCAUUUGGAGGAAAAGCCUCUAGGCAUCGAGGAAACCAUCCUCCGUGUUUCGAAAGAUGUCAGAAUAGUUUCUGUCAUGGCCCACGAGCGCUGGUGUUUUCCUUCUCUUCGUUCUCUGGGACUUGGGCUCCUGCCCAGCCCUGGCCAUUCUCUGGGCAGGACUUCAGACGACAGUGGCAGUGGCCACGUGUAGAUGAGGCCUGGUUCAGGGAGGCGGAUCCCGUGGCACCUGUGGUGGGUGCUGGGAGGUGACAGGUGGGGGAGGAGGAGUAGAGAAGACCACUUAUUUGCUUCUCAAUUUAACCUUUGAUCUGGUUUGUGAAUCUGAUGCCCAAAGAGCCUGUACAUCAAGGACUCAAAGAUUUCUUUGUUAGAACCUAGUGUCCGUGUCUUUUCUAAGCUGAUCAUUUGCCAUUACAAUAUUCGUAGGGAGCCCAAAGGAAGGAACCCUAAGUAGGGAAACAAGAAUUAAAUAUCUAAAUCCA
Herpailurus yagouaroundi (jaguarundi) is the source of this 2886-nucleotide long non-coding RNA. RefSeq lists it as uncharacterized. The transcript has 2 exons. The record is from RefSeq and is a predicted model, not a curated record. NCBI's taxonomy places the organism in Eukaryota, Metazoa, Chordata, Mammalia, Carnivora, Felidae.